This 497-nucleotide ribosomal RNA is filed under the name uncultured bacterium. RNAcentral describes it as "partial 16S ribosomal RNA". It matches the Rfam family "Bacterial small subunit ribosomal RNA", at positions 899 to 1397 of the family's 1533-position model. The record is from RNAcentral.
ACUCAAAUGAAUUGACGGGGGCCCGCACAAGCGGCGGAGCAUGUCGCUUAAUUCGAUGCAACGCGAAGAACCUCACCUGGGUUUGACAUGUAGGGAAAAGCCACAGAGAUGUGGUGUCCUUCGGGGCCCUACGCAGGUGGUGCAUGGCUGUCGUCAGCUCGUGUCGUGAGAUGUUGGGUUAAGUCCCGCAACGAGCGCAACCCUUAUCUUGUGUUGCCAGCGCGUAAUGGCGGGGACUCACAAGAGACUGCCGGGGUCAACUCGGAGGAAGGUGGGGACGAGGUCAAGUCAUCAUGCCCCUUACAUCCAGGGCUGCAGACAUGCUACAAUGGCUGGUACAAAGGGCUGCGAACUCGCGAGGGUAAGCGAAUCCCAUAAAGCCAGUCUCAGUUCGGAUUGAAGUCUGCAACUCGACUUCAUGAAGCUGGAGUCGCUAGUAAUCCCGGAUCAGCAUUGCCGGGGUGAAUACGUUCCCGGGCCUUGCACACACCGCCCGU